UUCGCAAUGCCCGAAAGGGUGACGAAGCGACGCCGCGUGGGUGAGGAAGGCCUUCGGGUUGUAAAGCCCUGUCAGGAGUUAAGAAAUGUAAGUGUGCUAAUAUCGCAUUUACUUGACGAAGGCUCCAAAGGAAGUCACGGCUAACUCUGUGCCAGCAGCCGCGGUAAUACAGAGGUGGCAAGCGUUGUUCGGAAUUAUUGGGCGUAAAGAGCACGUAGGUGGGUUUGUAAGUCAGAUGUGAAAGCCUCCUGUUCAACGGGAGAAUUGCAUCUGAAACUGCUGAUCUUGAGUAUAGGAGGGGAGAAUGGAACUUCUGGUGGAGCGGUGAAAUGCGUAGAUAUCAGAAGGAACGCCGGCGGCGAAAGCGAUUCUCUGGCCUAUUACUGACACUCAGUGUGCGAAAGCUAGGGGAGCAAACGGGAUUAGAUACCCCGGUAGUCCUAGCCGUAAACGAUGGGCACUAAGUAGAGGGGUUUU
This 477-nucleotide ribosomal RNA is filed under the name Candidatus Scalindua brodae. RNAcentral describes it as "bacterial SSU rRNA". It matches the Rfam family "Bacterial small subunit ribosomal RNA", at positions 365 to 832 of the family's 1533-position model. Lineage: Bacteria; Pseudomonadati; Planctomycetota; Candidatus Brocadiia; Candidatus Brocadiales; Candidatus Scalinduaceae. The record is from RNAcentral.